Molecule: RNA transcript, 2231 nt
Organism: Neogale vison (American mink)
Lineage: Eukaryota; Metazoa; Chordata; Mammalia; Carnivora; Mustelidae
Gene: SLC25A21
Gene name: solute carrier family 25 member 21
Exons: 11
Source: RefSeq, a predicted model, not a curated record
CGGAUCCGAGGAAUUCCUCCUACAGGCCCGCGCAGAGGCCGGCGAGCUCGCCCACUCCUCGCGGCCCACUCCCUCCUGCCCCGCUAGUGAAGAUGUCCGCCAAGCCCGACGCCGGCUUCGUGAAAGAGGCUUCUCGCCAGAUCCUGGCCGGUGGUUCCGCUGGUCUUGUAGAAAUUUGCCUGAUGCACCCCCUCGAUGUGGUGAAAACCAGGUUCCAGAUUCAGAGAUGUGCAACUGAUCCAAACAGUUAUAAAAGCUUGGGAGACAGCUUUCGAACGAUUUUCCGAAUAGAAGGAUUGUUUGGUUUCUACAAGGGGAUUCUGCCACCAAUCUUGGCUGAAACACCAAAAAGAGCAGUGAAGUUUUUCACCUUUGAGCAGUACAAGAAAUUGCUAGGAUACGUGUCACUGUCACCAGCAUUGACAUUUGCCAUUGCUGGAUUAGGAUCUGGACUAACAGAAGCUAUCGUGGUUAACCCUUUUGAGGUAGUAAAAGUUGGCUUGCAAGCGAAUCGGAACAAAUUUACGGAGCAACCAUCCACGAUGAGUUAUGCAAGACACAUCAUUAAGAAGGAAGGCUUGGGACUCCAGGGCCUCAACAAAGGAUUUACAGCAACUUUGGGACGUCACGGAGUUUUCAACAUGGUUUAUUUUGGCUUCUACUACAAUGUCAAAAACAUUAUUCCUGUCAAUAAGGAUCCAACCUUGGAGUUUUUGAGAAAAUUUGGGAUUGGUCUUCUCUCCGGCACAAUAGCCUCAGUCAUUAACAUCCCUUUUGAUGUUGCCAAAAGUAGGAUUCAAGGGCCUCAGCCAGUUCCUGGAGAGAUCAAGUACAGAACCUGUUUUCAAACAAUGGCAACAGUCUACCGGGAAGAAGGGAUUUUCGCUUUGUACAAAGGCCUGCUUCCCAAGAUUAUGAGGCUUGGACCAGGUGGUGCAGUGAUGCUGCUGGUUUAUGAAUACACCUAUUCAUGGCUUCAGGAGAACUGGUGAUUGCCCAGCAAGUGUUGAGAUCAUGGAUAUUUGCUCUACAGCACCGUGAGGAGAGACUAUCAGCUCAGUUGAUAUGAUUGAUAAUUAUAAUUAUACAAAUACGUACAGUCAUUAAGGGGAAACAAUUUAAUCAAGAACAAAACCUAUUUUGAUACUUCAGAAAUUAUCUCUAGACAAUUUGAGACUGGUUUUGGCCAUAUCCAUAAAUCUGUGAGAAGAAAAAUAGUAUGAAGUAAUGAGGUAACGCUCUUGCAUCUUGUGAGGGAGAGAAAUGCCUGCAUAGAGGCCAUGAAAUUGAACCUUUAACCUCUCCCUGUGAAUGGGAUGGAAAAGGAUCUCUGAAGAGUGCAUUUGCCAGUUUAAAAACAACAGUUUUACCCCCUAAAAAACAAAGGAAAUAUGUCAACAUUAACCAGUAAUAAUAGCAUUUAUAAAUCAAACAAUCCCAAUCCCCCAACCCAUCCCAUUUUCCUUUUUGAUUUUUAGAAGUAGCUUUAAAUCAUAUUUUGUUUUGAAUAGCAAAUCGCAUUUUAACUUUCUGUUGUCUUUAAGUUACUCCAUGUGAAUUCACUGUUGCUAAGAAAAGACCUGGGGGAAAAAGGGAAAAAAAAUCUUGAUAUCAUUAACAUUAGAUUUUUUAAAAUAAAAGAGCCAGAAAAAAUUAUAAAUAGCAUUAACAAGAGAUUUCUUAAUUUAGAUAAAGAAAAUAAUAUUUCAUUGUGUUUCCAUACAAAUGACUGGUAUUUUUUUUUUUAAGACUCCUAGUAGCCAUCUAAAAAAAUAUCUGAUAAGGGAUAAUUCUAUACCUUAUGUCAGUUUUUCUGGACGGCAGGAGAGUCCCUGUAUGGUAUGAUUUUAAAGUCUCCACCAAGAUAUUGGACUGGUAUCUUCGUUCCAUUCGGUUUAUAGUCUAUUUUCUCAUCAGACUGGGAACUCCAGAUGUCAACAGGAGUUUUAGAAGAUCAAAGGAAGACUAUGGCCCUGAGAGUUCAUCUGCUCCUUCUGCUUAUUCUUCUCCUGAAGUUAUAAUCCUCUGUUUGUAGCACUGAAUUUUGCUUUAGAAAUAAAUGCAGUUUAAAGCUCUCUCUAUAAGAUAGCUGUUGCUUGAAGCAAGCAAUUCCUCAAAUAUAACUUCUGUGUCAGAAAUCUGCUUACUGUCUAUAUGGUAGGGAUCUGAAACCUCGCCUCUGAGUUUUAAGUGAAGCCAUGAAACCAAUGUGGCGGAACUGGACUGCCGUG